RNAcentral lists this long non-coding RNA (626 nucleotides) under Gossypium barbadense (sea-island cotton). RNAcentral describes it as "long non-coding RNA (GBAR_LNC006869)". Lineage: Eukaryota; Viridiplantae; Streptophyta; Magnoliopsida; Malvales; Malvaceae. The record is from RNAcentral.
AAAAAUUAGAGCAUGUAAAAAUUGACCAAAAUUAUAUACUAUUUCAUUGCUGUAAAUUUCAUAAACCAAAAGGAAAAAUUAAUGAAAAAAAAUCACCAGAAAAAGUAACAGCAUGAGCAGACAGAAGAUGAAGAACAUAACAGAGAAGAAAUGCCUGGCUUUCCCAUGUACGCCGCUCCAUUUUUUUUUUCUCGAAACGAUUUUUAUAUCGGCGGCCGGCCGACGUCGACGCCGGAAGUGCUUCAGUCAACCGCGCAAAGAGAAACUUGAGAAGAUAGAAAUUUUCCAGAAAGAUGGUUGAAAUUACUAUAAUCAAUUUGUAAGCAAGCCAUAACAUCAUAUUUAUUCUUCAUCCUCUUCAUAACUUUUGUUUUUUUUUUUUCCUGGGAUUAUCUGAAACAAGAAGAAAACAGCAAAAGGUUAUGAAAUGAUAAGGGAAAACAAAAAAUGAAGAGAUUAUACAGGAGUUAACACAAAGAAGAUGAGACCAACGUGUAUAUAUAUAUAUAUAUAUGUUAUAAAAGAGGCAGGAAAAAAAGGGAAAGGUGUUCCCAAGAAGAUGAGACCAGCAUUUCCCGUAUUAAUGUUGCCUUCAUAUGUAAACAAUAGGAUAUAUAACACUUUUC